GGGGAUCUAGCUCAGUUUGUAGAGUGUCUGUCUGUCUUGCAUGCACAAGGCCCUGGGUUCAAUCCCCAGCCCCCCCC
RNAcentral lists this transfer RNA (77 nucleotides) under Marmota monax (woodchuck). RNAcentral's name for it is "tRNA.Ala". It matches the Rfam family "tRNA". From Rfam's summary of the family: Transfer RNA (tRNA) molecules are approximately 80 nucleotides in length. Their secondary structure includes four short double-helical elements and three loops (D, anti-codon, and T loops). Further hydrogen bonds mediate the characteristic L-shaped molecular structure. tRNAs have two regions of fundamental functional importance: the anti-codon, which is responsible for specific mRNA codon recognition, and the 3' end, to which the tRNAs corresponding amino acid is attached (by aminoacyl-tRNA synthetases). tRNAs cope with the degeneracy of the genetic code in two manners: having more than one tRNA (with a specific anti-codon) for a particular amino acid; and 'wobble' base-pairing, i.e. permitting non-standard base-pairing at the 3rd anti-codon position. Lineage: Eukaryota; Metazoa; Chordata; Mammalia; Rodentia; Sciuridae. The record is from RNAcentral.